This 435-nucleotide ribosomal RNA is filed under the name uncultured Roseburia sp. RNAcentral's name for it is "partial 16S ribosomal RNA". It matches the Rfam family "Bacterial small subunit ribosomal RNA", at positions 341 to 792 of the family's 1533-position model. Lineage: Bacteria; Bacillati; Bacillota; Clostridia; Lachnospirales; Lachnospiraceae. The record is from RNAcentral.
ACGGAAGGCAGCAGUGGGGAAUAUUGCACAAUGGGCGAAAGCCUGAUGCAGCGACGCCGCGUGAGUGAAGAAGUAUUUCGGUAUGUAAAGCUCUAUCAGCAGGGAAGAAAAAUGACGGUACCUGACUAAGAAGCACCGGCUAAAUACGUGCCAGCAGCCGCGGUAAUACGUAUGGUGCAAGCGUUAUCCGGAUUUACUGGGUGUAAAGGGAGCGCAGGCGGUACGGCAAGUCUGAUGUGAAAGCCCGGGGCUCGACCCCGGUACUGCAUUGGAAACUGUCGAACUAGAGUGUCGGAGGGGUAAGCGGAAUUCCUAGUGUAGCGGUGAAAUGCGUAGAUAUUAGGAGGAACACCAGUGGCGAAGGCGGCUUACUGGACGAUAACUGACGCUGAGGCUCGAAAGCGUGGGGAGCAAACAGGAUUAGAUACCCUGGUA